UGGUCAUUACCAAGGCUUUUGGAAUGCAGUUUCUGAUUUGCUGUGGACAUGACCAUAAAAAAUCUCCCACUGGGCUUUUUUUCUGCUACCUUGCUAGCAAGCAGUCUACUGGGAACAUUU
Molecule: small nucleolar RNA, 120 nt
Organism: Ochotona curzoniae (black-lipped pika)
Lineage: Eukaryota; Metazoa; Chordata; Mammalia; Lagomorpha; Ochotonidae
Product: small nucleolar RNA SNORA32
Exons: 1
Source: RefSeq, a predicted model, not a curated record